GGGGGCGCGAAUCUGCUAAUGGAUUUUCUCAUGCCACAAUUGACAAACCAACAAGAAAUUAAGUUUUAGGCCAUCAAUAUUAUAGGGUGAUUUUAACAGAAGUAUAAAUUUGACAAAUGAGCCAGUCUAUCAGCAGCAUAAACAACUGAACAUUAUAGGGGUGAUCUAAUGCACGAAGCGUCCCACGCUUGUGGGCUUUCGAGAUGCCAUUGAUGUACAAAGCCUUACGCCUGCUUUGCUUAGAGGCUGUUUCCAUAAAAUGACUAUUGAGUAUUGACCUAUUGCGCUUCAACUACUAUGAAAUUAUACACCAGUAUUAAUUUAGUAUAAUGCCUAGCAGACAGGAAAUGUGCACACACUGAUGCUAAUUGUUGUUUCCCUAAGCUAAAAGAGACUUGCAUUGCGUAUCUUUUUACUUUCCAGAAUGGGAAAUCUGUAACAAGAUUAACUUGGGUUGCUGAACACAUUUCUUGUCACAACAGUGUCUUUUCUUGAAUCAAUAGGAAUGUUAUUCAAAAUGCAAUACAAUCUCUUCAGAAGAUAAAUUCCACUUUCUGCAACAUCUGAUAAUCUUUUCUGCAACAUCUGACAAUCUUUUCAUGGAAUUGCUGAACUAGCAAAUCAAAAUAUGUAAGUUCUGUAGAAUAAAUUGACCAAUAGCCAGAUGCUUUUUGUAAUCUUGAUUUUUGGGUUAAAGUUGCACCCCUUAUCCUUGUAUUAAUGUCCCAAAAGAUUUGGAUACAGAAUGGCAAAAUAAUUUCAAGCCUCAAAACUAUACCAUCAAAUUGAAUACACAUAUAUUAAAAUUUACUGCUGGAGCUGAAGCACAGUAAACGUGAAUGCAGCACGCUGUAUGCCAACCACAUUGCUAGUUAGCCAGAUUACAUGAUGGUAUGGCUUAUCCAGUACAAUGGAUAUGGAAAGAAGUGGAAAAUAAGAAAAGUGAUUAGCUUUAUAGACCACAAGAAAUGGUAUUGGUACAAGUACUUACUGAGUUCCAAACAGGCUUUUCUG
This 1014-nucleotide unclassified non-coding RNA is filed under the name Hevea brasiliensis (rubber tree). The record is from RNAcentral. Lineage: Eukaryota; Viridiplantae; Streptophyta; Magnoliopsida; Malpighiales; Euphorbiaceae.